RNAcentral lists this ribosomal RNA (397 nucleotides) under uncultured bacterium. RNAcentral describes it as "bacterial SSU rRNA". It matches the Rfam family "Bacterial small subunit ribosomal RNA", at positions 28 to 416 of the family's 1533-position model. The record is from RNAcentral.
GAUGAACGCUAGCUACAGGCUUAACACAUGCAAGUCGAGGGGCAGCAUGGUCUUAGCUUGCUAAGGCCGAUGGCGACCGGCGCACGGGUGAGUAACACGUAUCCAACCUGCCGUCUACUCUUGGACAGCCUUCUGAAAGGAAGAUUAAUACAAGAUGGCAUCAUGAGUCCGCAUGUUCACAUGAUUAAAGGUAUUCCGGUAGACGAUGGGGAUGCGUUCCAUUAGAUAGUAGGCGGGGUAACGGCCCACCUAGUCUUCGAUGGAUAGGGGUUCUGAGAGGAAGGUCCCCCANAUUGGAACUGAGACACGGCCCAGACUCCUACGGGAGGCAGCAGUGGGGAAUAUUGCACAAUGGGGGAAACCCUGAUGCAGCAACGCCGCGUGAGUGAUGACGGCC